CCUACGGGAGGCAGCAGUGGGGAAUAUUGCACAAUGGGGGAAACCCUGAUGCAGCGACGCCGCGUGAGUGAAGAAGUAAUUCGUUAUGUAAAGCUCUAUCAGCAGGGAAGAAAAUGACGGUACCUGAGUAAGAAGCCCCGGCUAACUACGUGCCAGCAGCCGCGGUACUACGUAGGGGGCAAGCGUUAUCCGGAUUUACUGGGUGUAAAGGGAGCGUAGACGGCAGUGCAAGUCUGGAGUGAAAGGCGGGGGCUCAACCCCCGGACUGCUCUGGAAACUGUACGGCUGGAGUGCAGGAGAGGUAAGUGGAAUUCCUAGUGUAGCGGUGAAAUGCGUAGAUAUUAGGAGGAACACCAGUGGCGAAGGCGACUUACUGGACUGUAACUGACGUUGAGGCUCGAAAGCGUGGGGAGCAAACAGGAUUAGAUACCCUUGUAGUC
This 440-nucleotide ribosomal RNA is filed under the name uncultured bacterium. RNAcentral's name for it is "partial 16S ribosomal RNA". It matches the Rfam family "Bacterial small subunit ribosomal RNA", at positions 338 to 795 of the family's 1533-position model. The record is from RNAcentral.